Long non-coding RNA from Daucus carota subsp. sativus, 2374 nucleotides. RefSeq lists it as uncharacterized. The transcript has 3 exons. The record is from RefSeq and is a predicted model, not a curated record. Lineage: Eukaryota; Viridiplantae; Streptophyta; Magnoliopsida; Apiales; Apiaceae.
CGUAACAUUAUAAGCAUUUAUUGUAUUUUUAUUAGUUUAUGUUAUAAUUAAAAACAUACCCUAAGUGGUGGGCUUAUCCUCUGUUGUCCCGAGACACCGGGUUCGACUCUUGCUCACCCAAGAAUUAUUAGAACAGAUACUAAUUUGUAAGGCAUAUAAGACCGCAUUGUCAAAAAAACAUAUUACAAUCGAUUAUUUAAAAUUAAAAAUUCAAACGUUACCCGUGUGCGAAGCACGGGCAAGAUUGCUAGUUUAACUAAUAACUUCUUGCGGUCAUCAAUUACCCGUCCAAAGUAAUUAACCGAUAUUUAAAGUGUGAUAUUUAAAACAAUUAUUUUAGGAUAAAAUGUGUAAUUUCAAAAGUAAAUAGUGGCCGAACCAACCAGCUUUUGCCAAGAUCGGUGGAAAAGAGGAGUCACGCUUAGUGCUUGAUGAAAUGCCUGAACCGGAUUUAAUUUCCUAGAAUGUUUUGAUUUCUUAUUAUUCUCCGCAGGGAUUAUUUGAGAUAUUGACUUGAUGGGUUUGAAGCAUAAUUUAGGUAGCCUUGCAUUAGAUUGGAUUGCUUGUUUAUUUGAGUUUAGCACAAAUGAAUAUGCUUAUAGUUUGGGAUCAGUACUACUGUAAGUUGUUACUCUGACUGUCGUUUAAAUGAUUGCGGUUAAAAUGUAUGAUAGUUCACUACAUUGAUUCUAAACUUAAGGCUUAUAAUCUUUAGUUGCAUUGAUUAGAAAGUGUUGGCUCAUAUCGCGGUUGGAUUUUAAAGCCAAGGGGAAACUAAAAUUCUCCAGCCAAACUUGAAACUUAACCAAAUAAGAGUAGGAAAUCACUCUUUUAACACUUUAUUGUAAUGUACGCGAAGAGGGAGAAGAACUGUCUGACCGUCUCAGGCCCCCUGAGCCACCCCAGAAAGAAUGUGCAUAGUAAUCAAAAAGUAAUAAAACCUUCACAGUAGUGUUUAUAAAACCUUAGCAUGCUUUUGUAGAUUGUCAUAGUCAGAACUAGUCAUGCUGAUUUUCUUGUGGAUAUGAGAAUGAGUAUCAUCUGUGACUUUGUUAAGAGGCUUAAUAAAGGCAUGAAAUAUAAGCUUUGAUGAUGUCUUUAAACUGUGAAGAAUAUCGAAAGUUAACACAACAUAUGCUAGCUAUUAAGUCCCUGCAUGGUGUGCAUAUGGUUCACAUAAAGCAUAACUGCAUAAGCAUGUAUAGUGGUAAUGUCAAGGAGAAGAACAUGAGCUUCUUCAGUUGUCGCUCGUGUGCUAGCUUAUACAUUUGAUACUGAGCAAGGUUAUCACAAACAUUGUUCUUCAAAUAGUCAGGCCUAUGUGGAAUUCCAAAAACAAUUUGGCCGCGAAGAAAGUUCUAGAUUAAUAAUCAACUCUGACUACGAGGUUUCUAAUCCAGGCACUGCUUGAAGUCUUGAACUCAGAUACAGAAAGACCGUUGAAUCCCUGCAGUCCUGCAGAACCAGUAAUAGAUCCUAUUUGAAGGCAAACAUUAUAUCUGCAGAGUGUUCAGGGACCGCAGCUUGAUCUGAGCAGAAAAAAUAUAUGAUGGUCUGAUGUGUCAUCGAUGAAGGGACAGCGAUUAAGGAAACCUAGAUACAUCAAGAUCAGCAAUGCUACGAUUCUGUGUUUGCCACCAAGAGGACUCGUCUCAGACAACGGUAAAAAGAUAUCUUGUGGAAUAGGUGGAAGAGAACUCGGAGGAGGUGACAAAAUCCCUGGAAACAUCCCAGUAAUUUCAUCUAUACCUGCUCCUAUAUCAGCUUCACCCAUUGCUCUACUACCUGUUUCCCCUUUCGAUGCCCUGUCAACAUAUUCAGUCACCGCAAAACGAGCAGCAGGAGAGAUCACGCCACUAUUCCUGUCAAAAACCGCAGAAGAUGAUUGGCCAACCGGGCCUUUACGGCCAGUGAGUCUUUGAACAACCUGCAUGAACUCAUUUGGUUCUACUUUAUAGACUUUUGGUGAAAGAGUAUAAAUAAUAACCGGCGGUGGAUGGUGAUGAUGAGGUUGAGACACUCUUUGCGAAACAUUAACAGGUGUUUUUCGGAUGACAUGUGAGUCUUUUCGUACUUGGAGUGGCGUGGGGCGCGGUCCUUGGAUUUCUUUCCGGGGAGAAUUGCCAGAAAAAUUGUUGGAAGAGUUCAUUUUCAGUAGAAUAUUUCAAGGGGAAGCGAGGCUAGUAAGUUUUGUUGUAUGAAAUGAGAAAGAAACAGAGAUUAUUUAUAUGUAUGCAUGAAAUGAUUUUAAGAGAACAAGUCAGUGACUCAGUUGUAUAAGUGUGUCUGUACAUGUAACAUAGCGAAUACUCGCUUUUUUAGCUGCUGGCUGUUUCUUUGCUUCCUUAGUCUUUGAACUUGUCAACUUUUUUUC